This 1272-nucleotide long non-coding RNA is filed under the name Pan troglodytes (chimpanzee). Its description in RNAcentral is "lncRNA (ENSPTRG00000054526.1)". Lineage: Eukaryota; Metazoa; Chordata; Mammalia; Primates; Hominidae. The record is from RNAcentral.
GCUGAGUAUUUCUAUCAGCCUGGUGGCUUGGAGCCCUGAGCUAGUGGCCCUCAAAUAUUUUAAGGUGGAUUUGUGUCUGUCCUGAACCUCAUUCACAUGCAAAUUCUUUUUAAAUAGAAAUUUGUAAAUGGCGUGCACACCUCUAAGAGCGCUGCAGCUACUUGUCCAGUGUCUUGCCUUCUUUCUGAGUUACUGUUGGAGCCACGGCCAAAAUUAGAGAGGCGUUUUCUGUAAUGCUGAGAAAAGCAGGAAGCGGUGAGACGCUUGUAGCAGAACACGCAAAACUGUUUGGCGGUGGCCCCCCCUCCACCUCCCACCCACCGCUCUGUAAUUUCCCCAGGCAAGGCUGAAGGAGCCUUUCUUGGAAAACCCCUGAUAACGUUGCUACACAAAGGUUGGGAGAGUCCCUGACAGCCUGUGAGGGACCAUGUGGGGCUGGGGGUGGAUAGGGGAGCUUGACUCUGCAGUCCCCAGGGCAGUCUGAGUCCCCAGUGCCUGGCGUGGGUGAGCUCAGGGCUGCUCCAUGUGGGGGCAUCCAGGCCUGGCUGCUGAUGCCCUGUGGCUGAGGACACCUCCAUCUGCAUGAGCCAGUUUGGAAGUCCAGCUUGCCCCCCAGGCAGUGGAGGCCAGUAAGGGCUUCUCCCCAGAUUGACCACUCAGAUCGAAUUGAUCCAGGUGUUGAGCCAGAAUUGGCCCCAUUUUCUGCUAAUUUCCAUUCCCUGAUUGUGCUGCCUGCUACAGGAGUCAUUUUGGAUUUGGGCUGACCUGGUAGACUUCUGAAAGACAGUGCUCUGGGUUCAAGUUGUUCUCAGCUAGGUCCAGGCUAUGACGAAGACCCAGGGGAGCUGAGCUGUAUGGGGAAGCCAGAUGGAAACAGAAGAUUGGAAUGCCAAGGUGCCCCAGAGGGUAGGCCAGAAGACUUAUGGACCAUGGGUGGCAGAAGACCCAGCUUGGUCCCUUCCAGUCGUGUCCAGCAGGCAGCAGAAUGUGUGUGUACAUGCGUCACUGAGAGCAGCAAGGAUGGGACUGGUGUCAGACGAAGCCCUUGAAAGGCACACGCCAGCUUCUGGGGAGCAGCUUUCCCGGCACUGUCUCUGCAGCCUCAGCCUGGCCCAGCUCUGAUUAUGCCUCCCUCUCUUGGAGACCUUGUCACAUGCCCUGCUGGGGAUCUUGCCGAUGUCCUUCCAGGACACUCUUCCCUGCUCUCACCUUGCUCUGUGCCUCAGAGGCUGCCCUAGAUGAACUCUGUCAGACAGCUCCCCUACUUGGGCC